Molecule: ribosomal RNA, 433 nt
Filed under: uncultured bacterium
Lineage: Bacteria
Description: partial 16S ribosomal RNA
Rfam family: Bacterial small subunit ribosomal RNA
Source: RNAcentral
AACGAACGCUGGCGGCAUGCCUAACACAUGCAAGUCGAACGAGACCUUCGGGUCUAGUGGCGCACGGGUGCGUAACGCGUGGGAACCUGCCCUUAGGUUCGGAAUAACUCCCCGAAAGGGGUGCUAAUACCGGAUAAUGUCUUCGGACCAAAGAUUUAUCGCAUUUGGAUGGGCCCGCGUUGGAUUAGCUAGUUGGUAGGGUAAAAGCCUCCCAAGGCGACGAUCCAUAGCUGGUCUGAGAGGAUGAUCAGCCACACUGGGACUGAGACACGGCCCAGACUCCUACGGGAGGCAGCAGUGGGGAAUAUUGGACAAUGGGCGAAAGCCUGAUCCAGCAAUGCCGCGUGAGUGAUGAAGGCCUUAGGGUUGUAAAGCUCUUUUACCCGGGAUGAUAAUGACAGUACCGGGAGAAUAAGCUCCGGCUAACUCCGUG